AUAUAUAUAUAUAUAUAUAUAUGCACUAGAAGACACUAAUCUUACUGAGUUCAGAUAAUGUUAACGUGUAAAUUUCAGCAACUAAAUUGAAAUUUACUUGUUGCUAUUUGUGAAAAUGUUUUAUUAAGCUAACUACAAUUUGAAACUUUUAGAGUAAAAGUAGGGGUAGUAAAUGUAGAAGAACAUUUUUAAUAAUAAGGUAACACUGUUAUUCAAGUUUUAAAAACAUUAGUUUGACAUUAGUCUUAAAGUAUUAGAAAGAUACUAAGAUAUCUCCAAACUUAACAAAAAAAGAGAAGUAUGAGUCAAUCAUUCUAGAUUUGUUCAGAUUUGUUGUGCCUUAAAAGGAAAAUUUAUCCAUAAAUGCAUAAAAUAAUUUGUUGUACUAAUUUAUUACAAUGAUAAAUGGUAAAUAGUGGCAUAAAAUUCCAAUUUACUUACAUCACAAAAUUACAAAUUGCCUUUCAAAAUUCUAUAAAUUUAUAUGGUCAUAAUGUUAAUGAAAUUUAUGUUAUCUCAAAACAUCACUGAUUAGUUAUAAUUCAGUGAGAUAUAAGAACAACAUAUGAGAGAAUUACAGACGUCAUUGAGGAAAUCCCGCCUCCUCUCACCACCCACCUGAAUCUUGAGAUCUCACUGUUACUGAAGCUGAGAAACACAUUCAAACCAGCUGAGUCUUAGGGCCCUUCUGUGGAUGCGGAUUGUGGUCCCUAAGACAUGUAAGAAGGCAUGCUGUCAGUCAUCUCCCUCCAGGGCCCUUAACUGUCAUGUCACCUGUAGGUGCAGGGUGGCCCUGGCCCUGGCAUUGUUGGAAAGGGGAACCUCAUAAGAGAAAACGGAAUUUACCUAAUCUCUGGGAAAAAAACAGAGUAGCAACAGCUGGGUCUCAAAUUUUAUGUGUGAGCUCAUUUUCUUAGGUAAUCUUUCCCAGGUGGGUUGUCUGGUCUCAGUCGUUGUCAACAAAACAGAAGUUUUAAAAUAACUCUAAUUUUCAACUUUUUUUUUCAUUUCCAUGUCAUAUUAUUCAGUGUAUCUUUGCUGACUGAGAUUUCAAGGGCACAGGUCGCCUAUAUACCACUUUUUUGGAAAUGAAGAAAAUCCCCCCUGUGCCAGAUCUACAUAGGUGAAGAGCUCUGUCACCCAGAGGUCGUGGCCUUGAGACAGGGCACCUGGCAUAGAAAGCGGAAUGCAAAGCAAGUGAGAAUUCAUUGAGAAGCUGUCAGUCUGCAUCCUGGAAGUGGGCCCUCACCAAACCCUACCAUGGUGGCACCCUGAUCUUAGACUUUCAGCCUCCAAAACAGUGAGAAAUAAAUUUCUGUUAUUUAAACACCACCCAGUCUGUGGAACAGCAGCCCAAACGGACUAAGACAGUAAGUACAUCGGAAAUGCGGAGUCUGUAAAAGGUAAACAUUUGGCCAGUCCUCUGAUAAGGCUGGAACGUCCAAGUACAAACACAAGGCUAACCUGGAGGAAGACGAGAAGGAGUGACUGAAAGCUGGGGCAGAGCGCCGCCCCGUGGUGAUGCCUGCUCCAAGUCUCAGCAGUCCCUGGGGCCCGCUGGCGUCACACUUCGUCACAGACACAGGUUCCAGGACUGACCACCCCUGGUCUGAAAGUCCUUACAUUCUCUGUGUGUGUCCUCUGAGGGCUGAGGAUAGUGUCCUCUCACCCUACUGCUUGUAUCCAAAGCCAGGACAUUUGGGGACCAGAAAAAACCCUAAUCCUUCCUCAUGUUUCUCCCUGCAGGUCCCAGGAUAUAAAUGUGGAAAACACGUCUCAGAAACAGUCUUGCUUCCCUGAAGUUCUUAAGAUUCAAUAGGCAUGUUAAAAAAUAUCAGAGUUCUGGCUCAUAUUCAUUGGAGACUGGAAAUGCACAGAGCCACCUUGAGAUGUCCCCAGGUCACCCGAUAUCCUCCAAAAUGCCUAUUCCUCUUAUGUCGUGUUAUGCGCCAACUCCUGGUGUCUCAGACCUCCCCACACUACCUUCUGAUUCAAGUGCUUUGUGGAUGACUCUGCAGGAAAUCAGCGAUGGCAACUCACCUGUGCUGCCAUCCCUUUUUACCUACUUUCCUCCAUUCCAAUUUUUAUCCUCAAGCUAAGCUUUUAGAGUUGACACUUUAGUUAAAUGUCAAUUUCCCAAAUUGAAAGUCUUCACAAAUGGUUAAAACCAAAAGACAAUAAAUACAUUAAAGAUGGGCAUACUCUA
Molecule: long non-coding RNA, 2206 nt
Organism: Lemur catta (Ring-tailed lemur)
Lineage: Eukaryota; Metazoa; Chordata; Mammalia; Primates; Lemuridae
Exons: 2
Source: RefSeq, a predicted model, not a curated record